UAUUUCCAACAACUUAACGGGGCAAACAGCGAAAUCGGAUGCUUGGGUAUUCUCGGCAACUAUCUAGCUGUUGAUUGCGCACACGAAACACAAACUCGUGGCACGUCUCGAGACUCCAAAGCCCCAAAGGCAUCUGUGGACAAAAGGAAAUUGAUUCUCUCAAUUCAUUUCAUUUCAUUCUCGCUACGAUACAAAGUAUAGAGAAACUACGUCAAAUAUAUUAGCUUACAGAAAGAAGACAACCUUUGACAUUUUGUAUUUUUUCAGGCAAAAUGACGCACGGCCGUUCGAGGAUGAUUGUUCUGUUGUUAAUUAUUGCGGGAGCGCUGUUCGUCUGGAGUUACUGUCGACAAAUUGAAAAGAUUCAACAGGAACGUUACACUCAAAUCGUCCAUGAAACAGCAAAAUUAACUACAAUCGAAAAGCUAUUACCCCAAAAACUACAUGAGGAUUCCAUACCGAACGUCCAUCAGCAGGAGGUACCGAAGGUCCAUCAGCAGGAGGUACCGACGGUCCAUCAGCAGGAGGUACCGAAGGUCCAUCAGCAGGAGGUACCGAACGUCGAUCAACAGGAUGAAAUGACAACUACGCCGGUGUUUCGAUAGGGGCCGGGCGCCUAUGAGCCAGUGGACAGACUUAAAAAGGGAAAUAUAUUUCACAAAUCAACUUGGAGGCCAGCCACGUCACACUUCCUGGGAAAACACAGUCCGUCCUUCUAGGAACAAGACAAGUCAUUUUUUUUUUUAUAAUUAUAAAUACUCCAACGUGGAAGCUUACGUAUUAGUACGCUCGUUAACCCUACAAUGUUAAACACGAAAGUACAAUUAACGUUUAAAAUAACUCAAAGGAUCCCCGUACCACUGCCGAAAACUGAAACAAGGCUCCGGAGAAAGGUUUUGUUUUGCAUGACGGUAGUUUGGAACAAAGAUGGUAACUUUCAGUAUUGUGGAUUGUAGCUGGCGGCCUAGCAUCUCCAGACUAUCCACGUGUGAUAACAAUAUCCCAGGGUCAUUAAUAUAUUAUUUCCGUAAUAAAAACAUUAACAAGAAUAGUCUUCUACAAAGCCCUUUUUUAUACUCCGCAUGUUGAUUCUAUGAAAUUUGGAUACUGAAAAUAUUCCAUAACAAAUUAUACAACUGUUGAUGGUUAAGGUGGUAUUUUUAAGGGCCCGUUUUAAAGAUUGGGUUGGAGGAUGUGGGUUGAUUAGGGGUAGAAUUACAGCAAUAAUUGUGCUGACAAAAUGGCUCAAAUCACUAAAUAAAUUAGCAUUUUAGCAUAUAUACAUAUGUAUAUGACAUGAAUUUGACACAAAAAAAUAUCAUCUUGAGAUUACCAUAUUGCGUUAUAAGAGUUCCCCUUGUGAAAUUGACUAUCACAAUUUUUACCAAGAAAAAAGGUAAUUUUUCCCUUUAUUACCAAAUAAGAAAUUAGAAAGACUUAAGCGUUUCCGAAAAAAAACUAUUAUAAACGUACCAAAGGUCAUUUUGCUGGAAUUUGUCCCAUUAAUUCUUUUAAUAAAUUAUACGACAAAAGCAGCCGAGAGAUUCAUGCAUUCUUUUCGUGUUGAAUGAUAUAUUUCCUUUAAAAAAUAUUAUAUUUUGCAUUUACUAAGCAAAGUAAUCACCUUUUUGUUGUUAAAGAAUUAUAAUUCAUAAAUAGACCUUAAUAAAUUGUAGUUCAGCCCGACUGAUAAACUGUGAAUUGCCUUUAUACUGAACUUUAGGGAAUCAAAUACAACUUUGAUAUAUAAUAACAAUGAAUAUUUUAUUAACGUGUCACACAUUUCAAUAUAGGCCUGUAUCAUAAAAUACUUUUUACUAUGUUUAAGAACUAUGUAUAAGUACUUAAAUUAAUGAGAUAAAUUCUCGGAAACGGAUUUAUAUAAGUUAUUUCAACUUGUUUCCGGAUCCCAUUCCUCUGUACUUUGUAUGUUAUGUGAUGUAAUGGAACCUAAUUUGGAAUGAAAUAAAGUUUAUAUCAAGUACUGUCCGGCCAGUGCUGACCUAUGAGACACCACAAUCACAAUACUACGUAAUACAUGUAUUGCAAUUAUAUACAACAUAACAUUUAAACUAUAAGCAGAUCAAGAUAUUUCUAGAUUAAAUUAACUCAUUUCAACAAUAUCACAGAGUGUACUUAUAAUCAUUAUGCAUUAAGUUUGUGUACAGUAUUGUGGAGGCCCGUUUUACGUGUAAUUCAGAAAGGCGGAAAAAGUAGACAUUUCACCGCGUCAUAUGCCCAUUUAUAUUUUCAACUUUUGCGGGAUAAAAACAAGGGAUUCAGUUGAUCUAAAAGAGUAAUAGAGUACAAAUAUAUUGUACAAUUUCCCACUUAAUGACAGAUUAUAUUUUACAUUAUUGAGCAUUAUAAACUUGUACAACGACAAUCAUCUUGCUACAAUCAAAAUUGCAACACGAUAUCAGUAAUUAAUGUAGUGUCGAAAAGGGGGAAAGUUUGACGGAGCGUGGGGAGUCGAAUUGGUCAUACAAAUAUGGUUAAAAAGGUUCUGCAAAUAUUGGGUAUCUAGCUUUUUGAUAAGAUCUUCAGAUGCAUAAUUGCUUUUAAAAUUGACCAUAAUUUGUUAAAUCAAAUAAAAUCCUGUUUCACUAGAUCAAAGACGAGAUUUGAACGUGACUUAAACCUCAUAACAGCAUAUCCUUAAUUGUGCAUGUACAUUAUGUCUUUUUCAUAAUUUUAUAUCAAUUAUGAUACGUGCUACAGAAAUAGAAUGUAAUUUGCCAAUUUAUUAUCAUUUUACCCUUUCACUCCUAUAUAACUUUAGUAGACUCUACCAUGCAUUGAUCUGGAUGAGUCCAUUUUGACCUACAGUGGUGAAAGGUAGUACUGAAGUCAAAAUAAUGAAUAGUUAAUGUUUAAAGUAUUCCGAAUCAUAUGAAAAAGUACCGAUAAAACAAUGAUUCACCUGACAUAUUUACAAUUUUUGACGUCGUCAGAUAUUUUAUCCUUAAACUUUUGAUUGUAAAUAAGGUUAUUCCCGAAAAUAUCCUAUCUUUUCAUAGCAUCCUUUUAUUUGUUCAAUUAUGUCCACAUUGCUUGUUAAAUGUACAAUGUAUGAAAGUGAU
RNAcentral lists this long non-coding RNA (3083 nucleotides) under Mizuhopecten yessoensis (Yesso scallop). RNAcentral describes it as "uncharacterized LOC110461277, transcript variant X2". Lineage: Eukaryota; Metazoa; Mollusca; Bivalvia; Pectinida; Pectinidae. The record is from RNAcentral.